UCAAAACAAUUUCAAGCCACUUGUCAAUUUUGGAACUAUAAGAAGCAACAAGGCAAAAUCGGAAAUAUAGACAGAACUUUUUAAUAUUAGAGCAGCAAAGGAGAGGUAGUGCAUUGUCUGUGAAGGAAAUGAACUUAUUAAUCACAUUCUCUCUAUUGGACCAAUUGGUAUUUCGGUUGUCAAAAAUAAGGUUGUCUAUAGAAGUCCAGGGGUAUUGCCAACGUUUAGAGAGAACAGAUGUUCUGAAAGCAUCUUGUAUGGGCAAUAGAGAGAGAAUUUGUACAAUUAGAGCGUCAGGUAGCUCGCUGAUCCAAUCAAUGCCAGUUUCUUCACUUUCUG
Molecule: unclassified non-coding RNA, 339 nt
Filed under: Hevea brasiliensis (rubber tree)
Lineage: Eukaryota; Viridiplantae; Streptophyta; Magnoliopsida; Malpighiales; Euphorbiaceae
Source: RNAcentral